UGGAAACAUUGCUGCACAAACU
Molecule: microRNA, 22 nt
Filed under: Canis lupus familiaris (dog)
Lineage: Eukaryota; Metazoa; Chordata; Mammalia; Carnivora; Canidae
Description: Cfa-Mir-147-P1-v2_5p* (star (passenger))
Source: RNAcentral